Molecule: long non-coding RNA, 1249 nt
Organism: Ictalurus punctatus (channel catfish)
Lineage: Eukaryota; Metazoa; Chordata; Actinopteri; Siluriformes; Ictaluridae
Source: Ensembl
AUUGAAGAAUCAUAAAAGCUGCGGUAUCUUCAUGUCAUCUGAUGAGUACAAUCAAUGUUCAUGCUUUUAUACAGUACUAAAAAAAUGAUCUCAUUAGGCUGGGCUUUCCCAUGUUUUCUUUUGAUCACAUUUCUGAUGACUCACCACAAUUAUGUUUCUUUCUUCAUAUCUUAUUUAUAAAGGGGGUGCAAGUUCAGUCAGCAUAUUUUUUAGAAGUUUUUAUUUUACCGAUCUAGAUCUUGGAUUUCAACAAUACAUCUUAAGAAAUCCCUAACAUCAAACUGUCUUUAAAGAUACAGACUUAAAACGACAUAGUACAACCUCAGUGUCUUUAUGCAGGUGCAGAGGAUAACUUUUGUAAGAAAACAGCAAGCCUUGAAGAAAAAGAUACUUUUGUAACUGAAGAAUGGGCGCUCAGUGAUCUCACUGACUUUAGCUUAUUUGAUUAACACAUUCUCUCUUAUGAUCUCAUAUAGCCCUAUUGGUUACACAUAAGGUCUUACUUUUGACCUUAACAUACUAAUUUAUUCAAUGAUUUCUUUAAUAAAUACCAUUAACAUACUGAUUUAUUUAAUGAUUUUUUAAAAAUAUAUACCAUUUGCUUUAAAAAUAUACCAUACGACUUUUUUUUCCCCUCCAUCUCCCUCUCUCCUUCUGUUGAGCCACACAUGAUUGUAUGGAGAUGCCAGUGAUCCUGACCCUUUCUGCUCUCCGGACCUGCUUGAUCCAUCCUAAUGCCAGACUUCAUACAUUGUUUGAGUCUGAUUCUGGUUACUUUGCUCUAGCAAUGUUCAUUCAAUAUUCCUGCACUCAGACACUAAUCAAGUCUGAUUCAGUGAACAUCAAACCUGAUCAGUCUCAUAAACUGACUUGCACAGAAUCUGGAUUUGACUUUACUGGAUAGCUUGGAUCAGACAGAUGCCUGGAAAAGGGCUGGAAUUUGUUGCAACUAUCGAGUAUGAUAGUGAUAAGUAUUACUCCAGUGCAGUUAAUGGCCGCUCCAGUGCAGUUAAUGGCCAUCUCCAGAGACAACAGUAAGAUGCAGGUGUAUCUGCAUAUGAACACCAUGAGGACAGAAGACACUGCAGUGUAUUACUGCACUAGAGAAGCACAGUGACACAUGAGAUUGCAGCACUUUACACAAACCCCUUCAUAAUAUGGAAGCGUAUCAUUAAAUAAAGAAUCUUAGUCACUUCCGAACAUAUAUAUAAGGAAAGCAUUUUUAAAAGUCCAAAUAUUUUCCAAAUAU